This 452-nucleotide ribosomal RNA is filed under the name uncultured bacterium. Its description in RNAcentral is "bacterial SSU rRNA". It matches the Rfam family "Bacterial small subunit ribosomal RNA", at positions 66 to 546 of the family's 1533-position model. The record is from RNAcentral.
ACGGGGGCUUCGGCCCCAGUGGCGAACGGUCGCGUAACACGUAAGCAACCUGCCCUGAAGUGGGGGACAACAUUCCGAAAGGGGUGCUAAUACCGCAUGUGGUCACGAGUCGGCAUCGACUUGUGUCUAAAGAUUUAUCGCUUCAGGAUGGGCUUGCGGCCUAUCAGGUAGUUGGUGGGGUAAUGGCCUACCAAGCCGACGACGGGUAGCUGGUCUGAGAGGACGAUCAGCCGGAUUGGGACUGAGAUACGGCCCAGACUCCUACGGGGGGCAGCAAUUAGGAAUCUUGCGCAAUGGGGGCAACCCUGACGCAGCGACGUCGCGUGAAGGAUGAAGGCCCUCGGGUCGUAAACUUCUUUUGAGUGGGAAGAAAUUUGACGGUACCACUCGAAUAAGCCCCGGCUAACUACGUGCCAGCAGCCGCGGUAAUACGUAGGGGGCGAGCGUUGUCC